This 781-nucleotide long non-coding RNA is filed under the name Macaca nemestrina (pig-tailed macaque). RNAcentral's name for it is "lncRNA (ENSMNEG00000045584.1)". Lineage: Eukaryota; Metazoa; Chordata; Mammalia; Primates; Cercopithecidae. The record is from RNAcentral.
UCAUGAUCCGCCCCACUCGGCCUCCCAAAGUGCUGGGAUUACAGGCAUGAGUCACCACGCCCAACCUGUGUUCUCUCUUCUUGUGAGGACACCAGUCAUAUUGGACAUAGGGCCCACCCUAAUCUAGUAUAAUCCCCUUUCAACUAACUAUGUCUACAAAGACCCUAUUUCCAAAUAAGGUCACAUCCUGAGUUUCUGGGUGGACGUGAACUUUGGGGGACAUUGGUCAGCCUAGCACAGUUGGGAGGGCCAAAUCUGAGGCUUAGGCUUAUGUGACAUAUUGCUCAGGCCAGAGUUGUUGGAGGUAGGGGCUGUCAGAGACCUGAUUGAUGGGCCUCUCCCAUUCUUCCCAGCUCCAACUGCCUCCUGGGCCCAGGGCUGCUUCCUGCGUGGACAGUCUGGCCUGCUGCCACCAUCACAUCAUCUCUGACUGCACAAGCUGUCUGUGCCUUCCCUAAGGGGAGGGCUUGCUCCGGAGCUGCCUCUGUCAGGCCUGAACUCCUAAAACCUGGACUCAGAGGAAGUCCUAUGAGGCAUGAGACCUGACCCAGGGUGAGGGGGAAUUUUAACCAGUGAGAUCCAAGAGACAAGACAGAGCUGGCAGAAACAUUCCUUCUUAUUUCUCCCUUCAACAGUUUGGCCCAGAAUGUCCUGUCUGACCAAAUGGCUCGCUGGGUUUCUCAGGAAGAGAACUCAGGCUACCACAGGUGCCCUAGAAAAGAGCUCCUUCAGGACUAGGGAGCAAGACCAGGCUUCAACCAAGGCAAAGACUAACAAUUAA